Molecule: ribosomal RNA, 253 nt
Filed under: uncultured bacterium
Lineage: Bacteria
Description: partial 16S ribosomal RNA
Rfam family: Bacterial small subunit ribosomal RNA
Source: RNAcentral
UACGGAGGGUGCUAACGUUGCUCGGAAUUAUUGGGCGUAAAGCGCACGUAGGCGGCCCAGUGUGUCGGAUGUGAAAGCCCUCGGCUUAACCGAGGAAGUGCAUUCGAAACUACUAGGCUUGAGUACGGGAGAGGGUAGCGGAAUUCCCGGUGUAGAGGUGAAAUUCGUAGAUAUCGGGAGGAACACCAGUGGCGAAGGCGGCUACCUGGACCGAUACUGACGCUCAGGUGCGAAAGCGUGGGGAGCAAACAGG